Molecule: ribosomal RNA, 321 nt
Filed under: uncultured eukaryote
Lineage: Eukaryota
Description: partial 18S ribosomal RNA
Rfam family: Eukaryotic small subunit ribosomal RNA
Source: RNAcentral
CCCUUAGAUGUUCUGGGCUGCACGCGUGCUACACUGAUUACUUCAACAAGUGUUUUAACUGGAGAGUUUGCGUAAUCCUGAAAUGUUAUCGUGAUGGGAGUAGAGUAUUGUAUUUGUUAAUCUUUAACGAGGAAUUCCUAGUAAGUGUAGGUUUAUAAGUUGUUCUGAUUACGUCCCUGCCCUUUGUACACACCGCCCGUCGCUCCUACCGAUUGAGUGGUCCGGUGAGGCUUUGGGAUCUGAGCGGAAAGAGCGUUUCGCUGUUUCUGCUCGGAAAACUCAGUCGAACCUUAUCAUUUAGAGGAAGGAGAAGUCGUAACA